Long non-coding RNA from Hemiscyllium ocellatum (epaulette shark), 1014 nucleotides. RefSeq lists it as uncharacterized. The record is from RefSeq and is a predicted model, not a curated record. Lineage: Eukaryota; Metazoa; Chordata; Chondrichthyes; Orectolobiformes; Hemiscylliidae. The transcript is spliced from 3 exons.
GGGCGUGGCCCAGCACUGGCAGGCCUAAUUUUCUUUCAAGGCCCAUUUUACUGAUUGAGUCUACUCCUCCGGAAAGACCAGAGAAACCUAAACAAAAAGAUACAUACCAUAUAUGGCAAGGAUCACAAUGAAUAUUUCCACCAAACUACAGAUGUGCUCAUCCACAUGACAGUACCACGUGGCCUGUUUACAAGCUCAUAUCAACAGAGAUGCAAACAUUUUAAACGGAUUGUGCAAGAGUUUUCGAUGCUGCCAGACCUGAUGAGUUUUUUCUGUUUUUGUUUACUUCCAUACCCACUGACACAGAGUCACAGCAAUAUGUACCACCUACAAGAUGUGAUACAGAUACUCACCAAGGCUCUUUAACAGUAACUUCCAAACCAAAGAUCUCUACCACACAUGGAAACAGAAACAUGGGAACACCACCACCUGCACAUUCCCCUCUGAGCCACAAACCUGAAUUAGAAAUAUAUAAUUGCUUAAUCAGCGUUGAUGGGCUAAAAUCCGGGAAUGCUCUCUGAAAUGAGACGGUGGAGGUCUCCCAACUCCAAGGCUGCAGUGUUUCAAGAAAGCAGAUCACCACUGCCUUCUCCAGGGGCAGUUAGGGAUGGGGAAAUAAAUAGUGUCCUUGCCCAUGAUUUUUAUGAACAAAUAAAAACAGUCCCACAGUGAGGUAUAGCAGUGUAUUGAUCAGAACAAGAACACUUGCCUAUUUUUAAUUUUCUUUACCCUGGAUAUCAGACAUUACCUGAAUAGUACCCUGGCUAAAAUCAGGCAAAUCAGCAUUGACCUCUUGGCUUGAAUAGCUCACUUCUGCAAUAAGUAUUGCAAUUAUCAAUCACUCAAAGAGAAGCCUUUUGCAGAAACUUUAUAAUUAACUUAAUACCAUGUAGCAAAUGACAAUCUAGGCAAAUUUCAGGCUGUGCAUUGAGCCUAAUUUGACAGCAAUUGCCAAAAUUCAGCCCAGCUUUAUCUUAGUGGUGAAUUCAAAUAUAUUUCAAUUACUGAGUGACA